GCGGCUGUGGUGGAACGGUAGACACGCUAUCUUGAGGUGGUAGUGGCAACAGCUGUACGAGUUCAAGUCUCGUCAGCCGCACCA
This 84-nucleotide transfer RNA is filed under the name Arcobacter sp. FW59. RNAcentral's name for it is "tRNA-Leu". It matches the Rfam family "tRNA". From Rfam's summary of the family: Transfer RNA (tRNA) molecules are approximately 80 nucleotides in length. Their secondary structure includes four short double-helical elements and three loops (D, anti-codon, and T loops). The record is from RNAcentral. Lineage: Bacteria; Pseudomonadati; Campylobacterota; Epsilonproteobacteria; Campylobacterales; Arcobacteraceae. RNAcentral also lists the same sequence under 1 other name.